AUGCUGACAUCCACUUUGUUACCUUUGCCUGAAGGUAGGUGCUUCCCUGGCCGCACGGAGCAGAGCAGAAAAUGCACCUGGAAGCAUCAAAGGUUUCAUAGUGGAAUUUCAUCAGACUCUGUGGCUGUCCCUUCUCAGUGUCUCAUUAGUGAAGAGGUGGCCUUUUUGAAGCUGGCUGCCAAGCAUCCUGCUGAUUUCAUUCCCUGCUGGUGUGGCUGGUUCUUGACAAGGAAGGGAGGCAAAACAAUCUGUGACCCAAAGUCCCUGUGA
Molecule: long non-coding RNA, 270 nt
Filed under: Sus scrofa (pig)
Lineage: Eukaryota; Metazoa; Chordata; Mammalia; Artiodactyla; Suidae
Description: lncRNA (ENSSSCG00070015507.1)
Source: RNAcentral